CGCAGUCUGACAUUCGGGAAUACGCCAAGUUAUUGAGAAAGGAGAAAAUCAGAUUCUACUCACACUGCCAUGAAAUGCAGAGAUAAAUGUAAAAGAUUAUUGGCGGUCACAAUAUAUAAAAAUCAAGGAUACUUUUAUGCUUUUUGAUUUGAAAAGGAGAGAAGACUGGGUCAUCUGGACAGUUCACUUGUACUGAGCAGCUUCUUGUUUAUUGAUCACCAAAUAGAUAAAGCGUUUUAGAAGACUUUUUUUAUAUUGCCAUUAAUAAGAACAAUAUUUAUUUUCCUUUUACAAAACAUGCUCACAAAUGAGCAGUCCUCAGCAGCACACACAAGAAAACUGAAGCAGAGAUAAAGGAGCUAAACUAAAGGCACCCAGUGGACAGGGUAGAACUUAACUGCCCCAUGAAAAUACUAGGCAGGUGCCCAUUGUGAGCAGGUAUGGUGCUCAGUGCCUCCACUUUGACCGGUGCUUCCAGCAGGAGAAAAGACAGAGCAGAGAGCCAGAAUCUACCUGACCUUUCUGAAUAACCUCAAAUGCACUGAUAAUCAAUCUAUAGUUUUACAGGAACGAUGGUCCUCAUUCUGAACUGAGGAACUGCUUAAGUGUGUAUUCCUAGGAGGAUGACUUCCUUUCCUAGAACUGUGAGCUUCUUGUAAUAACAGCUAGACUGGAUGCCCUCUCUUUAACCUUCC
Molecule: long non-coding RNA, 695 nt
Filed under: Cavia porcellus (domestic guinea pig)
Lineage: Eukaryota; Metazoa; Chordata; Mammalia; Rodentia; Caviidae
Description: lncRNA (ENSCPOG00000036909.1)
Source: RNAcentral